Molecule: transfer RNA, 72 nt
Filed under: Nanobdellota archaeon
Lineage: Archaea; Nanobdellati; Nanobdellota
Description: tRNA-Asn
Rfam family: tRNA
About the family: Transfer RNA (tRNA) molecules are approximately 80 nucleotides in length. Their secondary structure includes four short double-helical elements and three loops (D, anti-codon, and T loops). Further hydrogen bonds mediate the characteristic L-shaped molecular structure. tRNAs have two regions of fundamental functional importance: the anti-codon, which is responsible for specific mRNA codon recognition, and the 3' end, to which the tRNAs corresponding amino acid is attached (by aminoacyl-tRNA synthetases). tRNAs cope with the degeneracy of the genetic code in two manners: having more than one tRNA (with a specific anti-codon) for a particular amino acid; and 'wobble' base-pairing, i.e. permitting non-standard base-pairing at the 3rd anti-codon position.
Source: RNAcentral
GCCCCGGUGGCUCAGCGGUAGAGCACAUGGCUGUUAACCAUGCGGUCACCAGUUCAAAUCUGGUCCGGGGCG